AAUACGACUCUCGGCAACGGAUAUCUCGGCUCUCGCAUCGAUGAAGAACGUAGCGAACUGCGAUACUUGGUGUGAAUUGCAGAAUCCCGUGAACCAUCGAGUCUUUGAACGCAAGUUGCGCCCGAAGCCAUCAGGCCAAGGGCACGUCUGCCUGGGCGUCACGC
This 164-nucleotide ribosomal RNA is filed under the name Exaculum pusillum. RNAcentral describes it as "5.8S ribosomal RNA". It matches the Rfam family "5.8S ribosomal RNA". Rfam says of the family: 5.8S ribosomal RNA (5.8S rRNA) is a component of the large subunit of the eukaryotic ribosome. It is transcribed by RNA polymerase I as part of the 45S precursor that also contains 18S and 28S rRNA. Functionally, it is thought that 5.8S rRNA may be involved in ribosome translocation. The record is from RNAcentral. Lineage: Eukaryota; Viridiplantae; Streptophyta; Magnoliopsida; Gentianales; Gentianaceae.